UGCCGUUCGCGGCUGGACUAUUUAUUACCCUUGUCUUUUGCGCACUUGUUGUUUCCUGGGCGGGUUCGCUCGCCACCAGGACCACAAUAUAAACCUUUUUUAUGCAGUUGCAAUCAGCGUCAGUAUAACAAAUGUAAAUCAUUUACAACUUUCAACAACGGAUCUCUUGGUUCUGGCAUCGAUGAAGAACGCAGCGAAAUGCGAUACGUAGUGUGAAUUGCAGAAUUCAGUGAAUCAUCGAAUCUUUGAACGCACAUUGCGCCCUUUGGUAUUCCAAAGGGCAUGCCUGUUCGAGCGUCAUUUGUACCCUCAAGCUUUGCUUGGUGUUGGGCGUUUUUGUCUUUGGCCCGCCAAAGACUCGCCUUAAAAUGAUUGGCAGCCGGCCUACUGGUUUCGCAGCGCAGCACAUUUUUGCGCUUGCAAUCAGCAAAAGAGGACGGCAAUCCAUCAAGACUCCUUCUCACGUUUGACCUCGGAUCAGGUAGGGAUACCCGCUGAACUUAAGCAUAUCAAUAAGCGGAGGAA
This 525-nucleotide ribosomal RNA is filed under the name Curvularia spicifera. RNAcentral describes it as "eukaryotic LSU rRNA". The stretch from base 147 to 300 matches the Rfam family "5.8S ribosomal RNA". The record is from RNAcentral. Lineage: Eukaryota; Fungi; Ascomycota; Dothideomycetes; Pleosporales; Pleosporaceae.